UGGAUAAAGAGAUUUUAGGGGUCAGGAUGUUGUGUGAUUUUUGUGCACCUGGGUGUGUGAUUUAAAUGAGAAAUCUCUCAAAUCCCUGGCCUUUCUAUAUUGAAAUAGAUUAUUAACAUUUAAAUCAUCCUUUAAGAUAGCUACUCAUUGAUUGGCUUCUGUAUUGUAGGUGCUGUAUUGUGCGGUUGCAAGGGGACAGCCCACUCCUCCCUGUGGAUACAUCUGAAAGUGAAGAAAGGCAAUGAAACAGAACUUCCAGAGAACACCCUUGUGAUUCUGCACCCCUUCUCCAAAUCCAACCCAUUGAAGGCAAGACAGCUGUGCCACGGGAAGCCUUCGGCUGGAGACUUGGCCUUGGCUGGAGAGGGCUGGCUGUUGAGCUCGUUUAGCGGAGUGUGCAGCAUUCACAGUGCCUGUCUCUCAGGGAAGGAAAAGGCACGUUGAUCAGAAAAGCAGGACAGCUACAUUCCCACCUUAGAGCGGUGGAGGGAAAGGAAUUUAAUGACAUCACAGGUAACUCCUUCCCUAAUCAUCUUAGUGAAUUGAU
Non-coding RNA from Oryctolagus cuniculus (rabbit), 547 nucleotides. The record is from RefSeq and is a predicted model, not a curated record. Lineage: Eukaryota; Metazoa; Chordata; Mammalia; Lagomorpha; Leporidae.